CUCUCAACACACACACACACGCACAAAGGUUUUCUCCGAAGUCUUUCCCCUCCCUCCAUCUGGCGAUCCGUCACCCCUCCUCCAGCCGCUGAUGGUCCUGCUGUAGGCAGUCUGCUCGUUCUCUUCAGUGUGAGGACAGCACACACUCCUUCACAACCAGCCUCUGUCUCUCACAUACACUCCUGUCUCAAACUAUUCUGACAAUAUGUUUAAAACUGGAUAUACCCCAAGCAGCACACCCUCCUGGAGCAUUUGAACUAUUUGAGCACUCGAUUCAGAAGAAGGAAGAUCAAUCAGCAGUAAGGUAUGAGUUGUGCUUGAAUAAGCCAACAAGGAGGGGUUUCUUCCUCUUGACACUGAAAACUACUGAAGUUUGGGGCAUCCACGAUGAGUCUUAAGAAGAGGAAACCAAGCAUGGUGUUCAGCUGGCAAAAGUCUUUCACCAUCCUUGCCCCGUGGAGAAAAGGUGAACCAAGCCAAUCAGUCCAACCCACUGGGCUCUGGACUGGGGUACCUAGAGCACAUCUGCCAACUCAUAGAGAAGAUCGGACAGCUACAGAAACACAACCUUCGACUACAGAAACAGAUCUGUGGCCUGCAGAAGGAAGGCCGAGUGAUCAAGACUAAAGAGGACUUUUUUAUGCACCACUGUAGCUGUGGAGCAGCCAACUUGGCCUUCCAAGAGCUCAAGAGACACUUUCGCAGUGACCACUACAGCCUGACGGCAUCAAGCAGCACACUGUCUGACCUCAGCACAAUCCCUGAGGUCACACGUAUCCCGCUCAGGGCAGCCAUGAGAGAUGGUGACAUGGGCUGCCAACCUGCUCUUCCUGUUUGGAGGAGGGGUCUGAAUCGGAGGAGCUACACAGAGGGAGAGGCAAAGUACCUGAGUGACAGCGCUGAGGUCCUCUCUGCUCCGCACAGACGGUUGAGUGAGAACUAUACAUGGGGAAGAGUGAAGGAACUGGUGAAGAAGACCAAACUGAGGAACCAGAGCCAGCUGGGACUGUCUUCAGGCUCCCUGAAGAGAUCAUGUCCACAGCUUUACCGCCCAGAUUUGAUGUCAGCAGAACGGCCGAGGACAAACAGAAACUCCAUGAUCGCUCUGGGCCAUCAGAAACGGGACUAUCUGUGGCCACAGUAGUAUUAAACAGACACUGAGUAGAUGGACUGCGAUGGGGCAACUUUUCCAAAAAGCAAAGGACAAAGUGGUGGUUUUUGCAAUUUGCAGAUGGUUUUUCCAGACUGAGGAACAAGAUGGGAGAGAAAUUCACAAGAAAACAAUGAACGGGAUUUGAAUAACGAUAGAAAAAUGUUGGUGUCAUGUGUAUAUAAUACUAAGAGAGAUGAUUAUAUGUUGAUGAAAGUGUUAAGUUGACCUGUUGAUGGAGCUUGUUUGUGUGUCAUGACAUUCCUAUAAAUGUCAUUAAUUCAGAUAAAGCACUCAUUAGAUUUGUCAGCUAAUGAGGUACUAUUAAAGACGAUAUAUACGUGGAAAAAUUAUUUACAGAAUGUGAUCAGACAAAGGGAAUUACAGUAAAUCCUUAUGUAUAGUCUAAUGUAAAUUUCUACCAGGACAAUUUACCAGACACUGUCCUGUUUGUAAAACACUUGAAAUACAUCCAAAUGAUAACAAAUGUUGAACAAGCAUGCUAUAACUUUAUAUAGAUCAUUUUGUAACACUAUUAUAAGAACUGCCAUGUGUAAGUGUGUAUAUACAGACAGAACAAAUAUGCAUGUGCAUAUGAGAGUGGAUAAGAGGCGCUCCCACGUCUGAAUUCCUGUAUCUACAGACAUAUAUAUCACUGUGAUGAUGGGGCUUAUGAUAACAUGUAAAUGACUUAUGGCAGUUCUGUAUGCAGCUCACCUGUCUGAUGUUAUAUAAAGUGUGUGACCUUUCUUUUCCCUAAAAGUUAAGCAAUGCCUUCCUUAAAAUAUCAUCCUUAAAUAUGAAUUAAAAAGGGCUUCCUACGUGCCUGCCAAAUAUCAGCCCAAAGACAUAAACGCUGUUAUGAAUAAAAGGCAGUAUAAAGUGGUCAUAACACUUUACUAAACUUAUAAAUGCACCUCAGGGAGAACGCGCAAAUAAAAAAAAGAAGUUAUGAAUUGACCCUUUUGAAUUAAUAAGGUGUUUAAUUCAGGCUAUUACUAAUAAACACUACACUCUAAAACUACACUGUUUGACCGCUGGGUCAAAACAACCCAAUAGCUGGGUUUGUCCCUUUUUAACCCAGCACUGGGUUAUAUUUAACCCAGCAUUUUUAGCGUGUACUGUUAAUCCACAGUGAAAACAGUCAGAUCUCCUUGACAACAUUAAGUUAAGCUCAGAAAGUGAGCA
Molecule: long non-coding RNA, 2338 nt
Organism: Sinocyclocheilus grahami
Lineage: Eukaryota; Metazoa; Chordata; Actinopteri; Cypriniformes; Cyprinidae
Source: Ensembl